RNAcentral lists this long non-coding RNA (203 nucleotides) under Cyanistes caeruleus (blue tit). RNAcentral describes it as "lncRNA (ENSCCEG00000023438.1)". Lineage: Eukaryota; Metazoa; Chordata; Aves; Passeriformes; Paridae. The record is from RNAcentral.
AGGGCUGAAGUUUCUCUUUUUUUCUUCACCAACAAUGAAAUGGGGAAGGAAACAGGGAUGAAGAACUUCAACCCUGAUCAGUGUUGAUGCUUCUAAAUCCUCUUGUCGCUGUGCUAACUCCAAAGAUCACAUCUGCAUGAGCAUGAUGCCCCCAGUUCAGACAGAUGCACAGACUUCAGGAGAGGGAGAAUUAACGCACAGUU